UUACCUACGGGGCGCAGCAGUGAGGAAUAUUGGUCAAUGGACGCAAGUCUGAACCAGCCAUGCCGCGUGCAGGAAGACGGCUCUAUGAGUUGUAAACUGCUUUUGUACGAGGGUAAACGCAGAUACGUGUAUCUGUCUGAAAGUAUCGUACGAAUAAGGAUCGGCUAACUCCGUGCCAGCAGCCGCGGUAGUACGGAGGAUUCAAGCGUUAUCCGGAUUUAUUGGGUUUAAAGGGUGCGUAGGCGGUCGGAUAAGCUAGAGGUGAAUUCCCGAGGCUCAAGUUCGGGAUUGCCUCUGAUACUGAU
Molecule: ribosomal RNA, 305 nt
Filed under: uncultured bacterium
Lineage: Bacteria
Description: bacterial SSU rRNA
Rfam family: Bacterial small subunit ribosomal RNA
Source: RNAcentral